This 468-nucleotide ribosomal RNA is filed under the name uncultured bacterium. Its description in RNAcentral is "partial 16S ribosomal RNA". It matches the Rfam family "Bacterial small subunit ribosomal RNA", at positions 28 to 507 of the family's 1533-position model. The record is from RNAcentral.
GACGAACGCUGGCGGCGUGCUUAACACAUGCAAGUCGAACGGAAAGGCCCUGCUUUUGUGGGGUGCUCGAGUGGCGAACGGGUGAGUAACACGUGAGUAACCUGCCCUUGACUUUGGGAUAACUUCAGGAAACUGGGGCUAAUACCGGAUAGGAGCUCCUGCUGCAUGGUGGGGGUUGGAAAGUUUCGGCGGUGGGGGAUGGACUCGCGGCUUAUCAGCUUGUUGGUGGGGUAGUGGCUUACCAAGGCUUUGACGGGUAGCCGGCCUGGGAGGGUGACCGGCCACAUUGGGACUGAGAUACGGACCAGACUCCUACGGGAGGCAGCAGUGGGGAGUAUUGCACAAUGGGCGGACGCCUGAUGCAGCAGCGCCGCGUGCGGGAUGACGGCCUUCGGGUUGUGAACCGCUUUCGACUGUGACGAAGCGUGCGUGACGGUAAUGGGUAAAGAAGCACCGGCUAACUACGUG